RNAcentral lists this ribosomal RNA (730 nucleotides) under Escherichia coli. RNAcentral's name for it is "partial 23S ribosomal RNA". It matches the Rfam family "Bacterial large subunit ribosomal RNA", at positions 527 to 1258 of the family's 2925-position model. The record is from RNAcentral. Lineage: Bacteria; Pseudomonadati; Pseudomonadota; Gammaproteobacteria; Enterobacterales; Enterobacteriaceae.
CGGCGAGGGGAGUGAAAAAGAACCUGAAACCGUGUACGUACAAGCAGUGGGAGCCUCUUAAUGGGGUGACUGCGUACCUUUUGUAUAAUGGGUCAGCGACUUAUAUUCUGUAGCAAGGUUAACCGAAUAGGGGAGCCGAAGGGAAACCGAGUCUUAACUGGGCGUUAAGUUGCAGGGUAUAGACCCGAAACCCGGUGAUCUAGCCAUGGGCAGGUUGAAGGUUGGGUAACACUAACUGGAGGACCGAACCGACUAAUGUUGAAAAAUUAGCGGAUGACUUGUGGCUGGGGGUGAAAGGCCAAUCAAACCGGGAGAUAGCUGGUUCUCCCCGAAAGCUAUUUAGGUAGCGCCUCGUGAAUUCAUCUCCGGGGGUAGAGCACUGUUUCGGCAAGGGGGUCAUCCCGACUUACCAACCCGAUGCAAACUGCGAAUACCGGAGAAUGUUAUCACGGGAGACACACGGCGGGUGCUAACGUCCGUCGUGAAGAGGGAAACAACCCAGACCGCCAGCUAAGGUCCCAAAGUCAUGGUUAAGUGGGAAACGAUGUGGGAAGGCCCAGACAGCCAGGAUGUUGGCUUAGAAGCAGCCAUCAUUUAAAGAAAGCGUAAUAGCUCACUGGUCGAGUCGGCCUGCGCGGAAGAUGUAACGGGGCUAAACCAUGCACCGAAGCUGCGGCAGCGACACUAUGUGUUGUUGGGUAGGGGAGCGUUCUGUAAGCCUGUGAAGGUG